UACGAAGGGGGCGAGCGUUGUUCGGAAUUACUGGGCGUAAAGGGCGCGUAGGCGGCCGAUCAAGUCAGCUGUGAAAGUCCUGGGCUUAACCUGGGGACUGCAUUUGAUACUGAUUGGCUUGAAUUCGGGAGAGGAUAGCGGAAUUCCCAGUGUAGAGGUGAAAUUCGUAGAUAUUGGGAAGAACACCGGUGGCGAAGGCGGCACCCUGGAACGGUAUUGACGCUGAGGCGCGAAAGCCAGGGGAGCAAACGGG
Molecule: ribosomal RNA, 253 nt
Filed under: uncultured bacterium
Lineage: Bacteria
Description: partial 16S ribosomal RNA
Rfam family: Bacterial small subunit ribosomal RNA
Source: RNAcentral